AUGGAGCAAGAGAUGUGGGUGUUGGGUUUGAAGAUGAAUGACAAAGCUGAGCCCUCUUUUGCUACGCUACAUACACUGAAUUUUCACUGUUCAGUUGCGUUUUGUUUUGGAUUCGGUUUGAAUCCUCCUCCUCCUCUCUCUCUCUCUCUCUCAUAUAUAUAUAUAUAUAUAUAUAUAUAUAUAUAUAUAUAUAUAUAUAUAUAUAUAUAA
Molecule: ribosomal RNA, 210 nt
Filed under: Triticum aestivum (bread wheat)
Lineage: Eukaryota; Viridiplantae; Streptophyta; Magnoliopsida; Poales; Poaceae
Description: partial small subunit ribosomal RNA
Source: RNAcentral